AUGUCGGCUCAUCUCAUCCUGGGGCUGGAGCAGGUCCCAAGGGUACGGCUGUUCGCCGUUUAAAGAGGUACGUGAGCUGGGUUUAGAACGUCGUGAGACAGUUCGGUCCCUAUCUUCCGUGGGUGUAGGAUACUUGAGAGGAGUUGCCCCUAGUACGAGAGGACCGGGGUGAACGAUCCACUGGUGGACCUGUUGUUGCGCCAGCAGCAGUGCAGGGUAGCUAUGAUCGGACAGGAUAACCGCUGAAGGCAUCUAAGCGGGAAGCCCCCCUCAAAACAAGGUAUCCCUGAGAGCCGAGGUAGACCACCUCGUCGAUAGGCCAGAGAUGUAAGCGUAGUAAUACGUUCAGUUGACUGGUACUAAUUGCUCGAUAGGCUUGAUUUG
Molecule: non-coding RNA, 384 nt
Filed under: Sulfitobacter sp. HI0023
Lineage: Bacteria; Pseudomonadati; Pseudomonadota; Alphaproteobacteria; Rhodobacterales; Roseobacteraceae
Description: Oceanibulbus sp. HI0023 Bacterial large subunit ribosomal RNA
Rfam family: Bacterial large subunit ribosomal RNA
Source: Rfam by way of RNAcentral